UAAAUGGCUCCCUGGAAAAAAACAAAAAGCCCUGAUUUGUAGCACUUGCCAAUUUCCCUGGUGUAAAUACUCCCACCAUGGCCAAUUUCAAACUACCAUUGUGAUGUCACUAACAUGGAAUUUGAAAGGGAUGCACAGAAUUAGCUCUGUGCAUCUCUUUCAAGUCGGUACCAGCUGACUCUGGCACACCACUGAUUCCAGCCACACUCAGUUUUUUUUCUUCUCCUUCCAAAAAUGCCUGAUUCUUUCUCACCUCUGGGACUUUGCAUGUGCUAUUUCUUCUUCCCCGAGCAAUCUUUCUUUUUCUCUCCUGCCUAGAUAUCUCCAACUAUUCUUAAGAUCUUAGCUUAAAUGUCACUCUCUCCAGAAAGUCUUUGCUGACGCAGAUUGGGUUGGGAGUCCCUGAGUUGUCUUCCAAAACAUAGGCCUCAUCAUGUUGUAUUGUAAUUACCUACUCACUUCAUAGUCUCUCCCAUUCGAUAUCGGAGCCAUAGGGUGGAGGUUAUAUUUGUGUAUCUAUUCUAUUCUCAACGUGAGCAAAAAGUAUCAUGUGAUUGCCUUGCAGAGGUGGGCCUGGGUGAGAUCACAUGGGAUUUUAUAAACAAUGGAAGUGACUCUUGAUAUCCUCUAUGCUGAUGGUGAUGAUUUUAGUGGUCGCUUUCAAGGUGAACAUUGCAUCGUGGUCCUCAAGAGACAUCUUGAACCAUAGAUAAACACAGAUGGACAACUGCAGGAAAGCAGCCCAGUUCUUUAAUAACAAAUUAUAAAGUUGAGUCAGUUUCCCUGAUGAAGGGGGAUAUUUAUGCUACAUUAAAAAGUAAUAAAACAGCAACCUUUUCUGAGCAGCAGAAUAUAAGAGAACAUCCCAUUUGCCUUCAAAUACUGAAUUUAGAAUUACAGGCUUCAUUAACUCAGAGUUUUGCUUAUUUAAAGCAAUUUUUUAAUGAGGCCAUUUCUUCAAAGCCAGUGUGCUGAGUUGCGUGCUCUUUCCCAGAUCUAAACUAGGACAUUUGGGAGAGUGUUUCCUGGAGGAAGAUGCAAGAGUCUUGACUUUUGUUUGUUUAAGGCCGUGUGCAUUCUGGUAUUAAUUCAGUCCAUGCAAAGUGCCAUUUGCUGCUUUAACCUUUAAGGCUUGUCACUUGGGAUUCCGGGUCAGAUUUUCUAGGUAUGUCAUUUUGGCUGCUCUGUGGCUAAUCCUCACAUAUCCCUUCUGAUCAUGUCGGCUGGUGGGGAUAUGAGUUAUCCGGUGGCUCAGGGGUCAUCAAGUUGAGGCAGGGUAGGUAAAGUCUGUGGGUGCAUUGGCUGGAGGUUUAUUGAGCAAAAGUAAAAUCAACCUUAAGAGAUUGAUGGAAUUAUCCCCACUUUACCUCUGAGCAAACUGAGGCUCAGAAAAGUAGCUUCCUGGAGGUGACCCUGGAGGAAGGUAGUCAAGACAGGGUCUCCCCAUUCCAGCAUCUGCUGUUUUCUCAUUACACACCUUGGAAAUAGCAACUCCUUGAAAUACAAAGUAAAAAGCUCGUUCCAUGCCCACAGAGCCGGGUAAUUCAUUCUAUUACUCUUACAGCUUGGGGAGUUGCAAAGUGCUUAUGACGGGGCCAAGAAGAUGGCUCACCAACUGAAGAGGAAGUGCCACCAUCUUACCUGUGACCUUGAGGAUACCUGCGUCCUGCUAGAGAACCAACAAAGUCGAAACCAUGAGCUGGAGAAGAAGCAGAAGAACAAAAGGAGCAGGAAGCCUCACAGCUGAAGCAGCAGGUGGAGAUGCUACAGGACCAUAAACGGGAGCUGCUGGGGUCACCCUCUCUGGGGGAAAAUUGCGUUGCUGGCUUGAAGGAGAGGCUCUGGAAGUUGGAAUCCAGCGCCCUUGAGCAACAGAAAAUCCAGAGCCAGCAGGAAAACACCAUCAAGCAGCUGGAGCAGGUAGGAAAGCCCUGUCUCAGGGCAACACCCUGUCCCAUGUCUCCAAUGCAGAGUGAUGUUAUUAAAAUACAAUGUGGGUGCCUCACUUGGCUGCUCCUCAUCCUUCAAUGGCUCCCUAUUAUCCCAGGGAACCUUUAAGCUCCUAAGUCUGACAUUCAGAUCCUUCCUGAUCCAGCUCUCCCCUGCAAGGUUCAGUGUCACCUCCUCAGAGAAGCCUGCCUUAAUCAUCUUGCAAAUAGCUCCCACUAGGUUGCAUUCAUUUCCCAUCUCCUUAGCUGGGUUGCUUUACUCUCUGGUACCUGCCAUCGUAUUAGAUAGUAUUUUUUAAAAGUUUGCUUUAUGCCUUUCUCUCUCAUUAACAUAUAAGCUUCAUGAAGUCAGAUUGUUUUUCUCUUUCUCUUGCUUCUUAGUGCAAUCCUAGAGCCUAGAAUGAGGCCAGGUACAUAGCUGAUGCUCAAUAAAUAGCUGUUGACCAAAUAUCUAACAUUCAUUGAGUACUGUCUGUAUACUAACCUCAGCCCUAAGCUCUCCCCACACAUCUCACGAAUCUCCACAUGAACCUUAUGUAGGGAGAUCUUAGUAUUAUCCCCACUUUACGGAUGUAGAAGUUGAGACUCAGAGACAUGGAGAAAGUAUCAGGGAUGGGAUUUGGAACCUGUGUCAU
Molecule: long non-coding RNA, 2584 nt
Filed under: Homo sapiens (human)
Lineage: Eukaryota; Metazoa; Chordata; Mammalia; Primates; Hominidae
Description: long non-coding RNA NONHSAT192170.1
Source: RNAcentral